This 450-nucleotide ribosomal RNA is filed under the name uncultured bacterium. RNAcentral's name for it is "partial 16S ribosomal RNA". It matches the Rfam family "Bacterial small subunit ribosomal RNA", at positions 338 to 795 of the family's 1533-position model. The record is from RNAcentral.
CCUACGGGGGGCUGCAGUGGGGAAUUUUGGACAAUGGGCGCAAGCCUGAUCCAGCCAUUCCGCGUGAGUGAAGAAGGCCUUCGGGUUGUAAAGCUCUUUCGCAAGGGAAGAAAACUUAUCCUCUAACAUAGGAUGAGGUUGACGGUACCUUGAUAAGAAGCACCGGCUAACUACGUGCCAGCAGCCGCGGUAAUACGUAGGGGGCGUACGGUAAUCGGAAUUACUGCACGCUGAGUGGUCACACGCUUGUGAAAUCCCCGAGCUCAACUUGGGAACUGCGUUUGAAACUACAAGACUAGAAUAGGUCAGAGGGGGGUAGAAUUCCACGUGUAGCAGUGAAAUGCGUAGAGAUGUGGAGGAAUAUCAAUGGCGAAGGCAGCCCCCUGGGAUCAUAUUGACGCUCAUGCACGAAAGCGUGGGGAGCAAACAGGAUUAGAUACCCCUGUAGUC